GGGUCAUUAAAAUUACUGAGCUACUAGUCUUUUAGUGGAGUUGCAUCAUAGGCAUGUUUGACCCAUACAGAUUAAUAUAAAUAUACAUGGUUUAAAAAGAGAAAAAAGGAAUGCAGGUGUUUCUGCCACUUUGUGUAGUGUGGGAAGUGCUCUUCUCUCAGUUCCUUUCAGUGGCCUGAUCUCAGAUUUGGAUUGUGCUGUGCAUAAUUAUUUACAUUAGGCUUUGAAUGGUAGCUUAUCUAGAACACUAUUACUUUGUAAGUCUGUGUUAUCUUUGUAAGUGACAAAUACAUU
Molecule: long non-coding RNA, 294 nt
Filed under: Bos taurus (domestic cattle)
Lineage: Eukaryota; Metazoa; Chordata; Mammalia; Artiodactyla; Bovidae
Description: long non-coding RNA NONBTAT015983
Source: RNAcentral